UACGGAGGGUGCAAGCGUUAAUCGGAAUUACUGGGCGUAAAGCGCACGCAGGCGGCUUUUUAAGUCGGAUGUGAAAGCCCCGGGCUCAACCUGGGAAUUGCAUUCGAUACUGGGAAGCUAGAGUAUGUGAGAGGGGGGUAGAAUUCCAAGUGUAGCGGUGAAAUGCGUAGAGAGUUGGAGGAAUACCAGUGGCGAAGGCGGCCCCAUGGCACACUACGGAAGCUCAGGUGAGAAAGCGUGGGGAGCAAACAGGCUUCGAUAACAGCGGAGUCC
Molecule: ribosomal RNA, 273 nt
Filed under: uncultured bacterium
Lineage: Bacteria
Description: partial 16S ribosomal RNA
Rfam family: Bacterial small subunit ribosomal RNA
Source: RNAcentral